GACGAACGCUGGCGGCGUGCUUAACACAUGCAAGUCGAACGAAGAGCGAUGGAAGCUUGCUUCUAUCAAUCUUAGUGGCGAACGGGUGAGUAACGCGUAAUCAACCUGCCCUUCAGAGGGGGACAACAGUUGGAAACGACUGCUAAUACCGCAUACGAUCUAAUCUCGGCAUCGAGGAUAGAUGAAAGGUUGCCUCUACAUGUAAGCUAUCACUGAAGGAGGGGAUUGCGUCUGAUUAGCUAGUUGGAGGGGUAACGGCCCACCAAGGCGAUGAUCAGUAGCCGGUCUGAGAGGAUGAACGGCCAAAAUGGGACUGAGACACGGCCCAGACCCCUACGGGAGGCAGCAGUGGGGAAUCUUCCGCAAUGGAGGAAAGUCUGACGGAGCAACGCCGCGGGAGGGAUGACGGCCUUCGGGUUGUAAAGCUCUGUUAAUCGGGACGAAAGGCCUUCUUGCGAAUAGUGAGAAGGAUUGACGGUACCGGAAGAGAAAGCCACGGCUAACUACGUG
Molecule: ribosomal RNA, 510 nt
Filed under: uncultured bacterium
Lineage: Bacteria
Description: partial 16S ribosomal RNA
Rfam family: Bacterial small subunit ribosomal RNA
Source: RNAcentral